GACGAACGCUGGCGGCGUGGAUUAGGCAUGCAAGUCGAACGGUAUCAUCCUUUCGGGGGUGAGAGAGUGGCGAACUGGUGAGUAACACGUAGGUUAUCUACCCUCAAGACGGGGACAACCCAGGGAAACUUGGGCUAAUACCGGAUGUGAGCAACUUUUAGUUGUUUGAAAGGUGGCGUAAGCUGUCGCUUGGGGAUGAGCCUGCGUCCUAUUAGUUAGUUGGUGAGGUAACGGCUCACCUAGGGCAAUGAUAGGUAGGCGGCCUUAACGGGUGGUCGCCCACACUGGGAUUGAGAUACGGCCCAGACUCCUACGGGAGGCAGCAGUCGAGAAUAGUCUACAAUGGUCGGAAGACUGAUAGUGCGACGCCGCGUGAACGAUGAAUCCCUUCGGGGUGUAAAGUUCUUUUAUAUGUGAGCAGUGCUUCUUAUAUUAACAGUAUGGGGAGAGAGAUAUUAGCAUAUGAAUAAGCAACGGCUAACUCCGUGCCAGCAGCCGGUAAACUCG
This 507-nucleotide ribosomal RNA is filed under the name uncultured bacterium. RNAcentral describes it as "bacterial SSU rRNA". It matches the Rfam family "Bacterial small subunit ribosomal RNA", at positions 28 to 527 of the family's 1533-position model. The record is from RNAcentral.